UCCGGUUCAUCACCGGCAGUCCCCUUAGAGUCCCCAACUUAAUGCUGGCAACUAAGGGCAAGGGUUGCGCUCGUUACGGGACUUAACCCAACAUCUCACAACACGAGCUGACGACAGCCAUGCAGCACCUGUCUCCGCGUUCCUUUCGGCACUCCCACAUCUCUGCAGGAUUCGCGGGAUGUCAAGGGUAGGUAAGGUUCUUCGCGUUGCAUCGAAUUAAACCACAUGCUCCACCGCUUGUGCGGGCCCCCGUCAAUUCCUUUGAGUUUCAACCUUGCGGCCGUACUUCCCAGGCGGAUAACUUAUCGCGUUAGCUUCGAUACCGAUAGGUUCCCCUACCAACAUCUAGUUAUCAUCGUUUACAGCGUGGACUAC
Molecule: unclassified non-coding RNA, 375 nt
Filed under: uncultured Gammaproteobacteria bacterium
Lineage: Bacteria; Pseudomonadati; Pseudomonadota; Gammaproteobacteria
Description: contains 16S-23S intergenic spacer region
Source: RNAcentral